GAUUGCAUUGCAUGAACUAACGAAUACGAUCAUACUAUCCAUCAGAACUCUGCAUCUAAGAGUUCUUGGGCGAGAGUAGUACUAAUAUGGAUGACCUCUCGGGAAGUCGUCCUGUUCCAUUCC
Arabidopsis thaliana (thale cress) is the source of this 123-nucleotide non-coding RNA. The record is from Rfam. Lineage: Eukaryota; Viridiplantae; Streptophyta; Magnoliopsida; Brassicales; Brassicaceae.